UAAGGUUGGUGGAGACUUCUAAAGAAGAGGCUCAAUUGAUUUGGCUACAAGAGAUACAGGUUCAGGUGCUCAGAAGUGAGCUGCGGUUCGUCUGAGAAACGGCGAAGAUAUUUAUUUUCUCUACUUUGUGUUUUCCUUAGAAUCUCUCCACCUUUGUUUUGAAAAGAUUAUAUUAUGUGUUGAACUCUUUUGAAACUUGCCUAUAGAGGCUCUUAUGUUUCCUUUGGGAGAGAUUAGGAUAUACUGUUGUCAACUACUUUCAUACUGUACCCUAGCCGGCCUAAACUUCGCGGGUCGCGACUAGUGGCUAUUUACUUAUGUUAUAUAUAUCUAUCUGUUAUCUAUC
Arachis duranensis is the source of this 346-nucleotide long non-coding RNA. RefSeq lists it as uncharacterized. Lineage: Eukaryota; Viridiplantae; Streptophyta; Magnoliopsida; Fabales; Fabaceae. The transcript has 2 exons. The record is from RefSeq and is a predicted model, not a curated record.